Cinclus cinclus is the source of this 581-nucleotide long non-coding RNA. RefSeq lists it as uncharacterized. The transcript is spliced from 3 exons. The record is from RefSeq and is a predicted model, not a curated record. NCBI's taxonomy places the organism in Eukaryota, Metazoa, Chordata, Aves, Passeriformes, Cinclidae.
AUCCCCGAGCUUUUAUCAAAGCUUGGUGUAAGAAUAAAAUGAACUGCAACCCCUUCCUGAAAUCUUCUGGGUCAAAACCAAACAUCAGGGUAUUUUCCCUUCCCUUCUCCUUUCUCCUGCAGGCAGUGAAAUGCAAGACAGGCCUUUACUGGGAAGAUACUGGGAAAUUCUGGGCACACAACUUGUGCUCCUUCAAACAAAAGGACAGCACGAGAAGCACAGAACAAGAGGAACUGAGCAGAUUGUCCACCUCUGCCUGAGGGCUGCAGCAAACCAAGAACCCAGGCAGGAGCAACAUCCUGCUCUGGCAGCUUCCAGGCUGGAGUCUGAACCAAGAGGAAACAGGAGAUGGAAAACGACAACCCAGCUGGAAUUCUCAAAAGAAAACUGCCACCCAGGCAUUACCUGAAGCAUCACCUAAGGAAACCCUCUGUUGUAUCUCAGCAGUCAUUCAGUGCAUCCUAAGUUCUUCCACAACUGUUAUGCAAAAACAACAAUUUCAACCCAUGGUGCAGCAAGAGAGGAAAAAAUAUGUUUCCAGCACCCAAAAAACCAGCCUGGACUUGAGAGAUUAUCUGGUC